CCUACGGGUGGCAGCAGUGAGGAAUAUUGGUCAAUGGGCGAGAGCCUGAACCAGCCAAGUCGCGUGAGGGAGUACUGCCCUAUGGGUUGUAAACCUCGUUUGUCGGGGAGCAAAAGCCGGACGUUUCCGACUGUUAGAGUACCCGAAGAAAAAGCAUCGGCUAACUCCGUGCCAGCAGCCGCGGUAAUACGGAGGAUGCGAGCGUUAGCCGGAUUUCUUGGGUUUAAAGGGUGCGCAGGCGGAUUUUUAAGUAAGGGGUCAAAUCGUGGGGCUCAACCCCAUCCAGCCGUUGAAACUGGGGAUCUAGAGUGUGCGAGAGGUAUGCGGAAUGCGUGGUGUAGCGGUGAAAUGCAUAGAUAUCACGCAGAACCCCGAUUGCGAAGGCAGCAUACCGGUGCACAACUGACGCUGAGGCUCGAAAGCAUGGGUAGCGAACAGGAUUAGAUACCCUUGUAGUC
This 458-nucleotide ribosomal RNA is filed under the name uncultured bacterium. Its description in RNAcentral is "partial 16S ribosomal RNA". It matches the Rfam family "Bacterial small subunit ribosomal RNA", at positions 338 to 795 of the family's 1533-position model. The record is from RNAcentral.